AAUUGGAGGGCAAGUCUGGUGCCAGCAGCCGCGGUAAUUCCAGCUCCAAUAGCGUAUAUUAAAGUUGUUGCAGUUAAAAAGCUCGUAGUUGAAUUUCGGGGUCAGUAGAUUGGUCGUGCCACUGGUAUGUACUGGUCUUACUGGCUCCUCCUUCCUGAUGAACCGUAAUGCCAUUAAUUUGGUGUUGCGGGGAAACUGGACUGUUACUUUGAAAAAAUUAGAGUGUUUAAAGCAGGCUAACGCUUGAAUACAUUAGCAUGGAAUAAUGAAAUAGGACGUUCGAUCCUAUUUUGUUGGUUUCUAGGAUUGACGUAAUGAUUAAUAGGGAUAGUUGGGGGCAUUAGUAUUCAAUUGUCAGAGGUGAAAUUCUUGGAUUUAUUGAAGACUAACUACUGCGAAAGCAUUUGCCAAGGAUGUUUUCAUUAAUCAAGAACGAAAGUUAGGGGAUCGAAGACGAUCAGAUACCGUCGUAGUCUUAACCAUAAACUAUGCCGACUAGGGAUCGGAUGAUGUUAAUUUUUUAAUGACUCAUUCGGCGCCUUACGGGAAACCAAAGUGU
This 559-nucleotide ribosomal RNA is filed under the name uncultured Glomus. RNAcentral's name for it is "SSU rRNA". It matches the Rfam family "Eukaryotic small subunit ribosomal RNA", at positions 546 to 1106 of the family's 1831-position model. Lineage: Eukaryota; Fungi; Glomeromycota; Glomeromycetes; Glomerales; Glomeraceae. The record is from RNAcentral.